RNAcentral lists this ribosomal RNA (497 nucleotides) under uncultured bacterium. Its description in RNAcentral is "partial 16S ribosomal RNA". It matches the Rfam family "Bacterial small subunit ribosomal RNA", at positions 28 to 507 of the family's 1533-position model. The record is from RNAcentral.
GAUGAACGCUGGCGGCGUGCCUAAUACAUGCAAGUCGAGCGAACAGACGAGGAGCUUGCUCCUCUGACGUUAGCGGCGGACGGGUGAGUAACACGUGGAUAACCUACCUAUAAGACUGGGAUAACUUCGGGAAACCGGAGCUAAUACCGGAUAAUAUAUUGAACCGCAUGGUUCAAUAGUGAAAGACGGCUUUGCUGUCACUUAUAGAUGGAUCCGCGCCGCAUUAGCUAGUUGGUAAGGUAACGGCUUACCAAGGCGACGAUGCGUAGCCGACCUGAGAGGGUGAUCGGCCACAUUGGAACUGAGACACGGUCCAGACUCCUACGGGAGGCAGCAGUAGGGAAUCUUCCGCAAUGGGCGAAAGCCUGACGGAGCAACGCCGCGUGAGUGAUGAAGGUCUUCGGAUCGUAAAACUCUGUUAUUGGGGAAGAACAAAUGUGUAAGUAACUAUGCACGUCUUGACGGUACCUAAUCAGAAAGCCACGGCUAACUACGUG